AUCUGGGAAGAAAGAAUCUUAAUCAAGAAAAUGCCUCCAUCCCACUGGCCCGUAGCCUGUGGGCUUCUGGACCGUAUGAAAGCUAAAAGGACAAAAGACUGGAGAAAGAGAAAGGGAAUUCGGAGACGUGAAGGGGAGAGCGCUGCAUCGAUGGAUCCCGAGCUACAGUUAGAUAGAACCGCUACUAAAGAAGCUCCAGUAGCCAGGGUAACGUAAUCGAAAGCUGCGCAGCCAGGAAUCUGUGUGCAAGGGGAUGUUCGCGGGCGGUUCUGAGUACAGUCGCUGCUUAGUUGACAGUUUUCAGCAUAAGCAGAAACUAGGUCCUAGGAAAAUUCGUCUGCGGAGCUUUCUCGCUGAGAUCAGUGGGUCUCCACGGACCUCUCCCCAAAGACCUGCUGGCUAGCAGAGCCUGGGAAAGCUGCCACAAUCGUUUCGACCAGUCCUUUGAGGUUUGCCGGUGUUUUCAGCCUGGGAAUGGUUCCCAAACUGGGCCCACAUGCAGCUGGAUAAAUUCGCUUUUGCAAGUCUGUAUCUGCUUCAUAGAAGUGACGCCCUGGGCUGCUAGCAAAUUCAUCGUUCCCAGGGCCCACCAUCGAAAAUCAUGAGACAUUUCUUUCUGCAGCAGAAAAAUUUGUGGUGGGUGGUUUCUUUUUGUUUUCUGAAAAAAAAAAGUCUAAAAAAAGUACUCCUAUAUGCCUUGUCUUGUAUGUACUGACGAACCCUUGAUUUUACCCCAUCCAUCGGGAUUUUCUGGCUCCAGGCUUGAAGGUGGACUUGGGAGGCUUUGAGCCCUGUUAGGCUCAGGGCUCAGAAAACAAUCUCCCCGCCCCACAAAUAAACCUCAAAUGCUUUAAACCUAA
Long non-coding RNA from Mesocricetus auratus (golden hamster), 860 nucleotides. RefSeq lists it as uncharacterized. NCBI's taxonomy places the organism in Eukaryota, Metazoa, Chordata, Mammalia, Rodentia, Cricetidae. The record is from RefSeq and is a predicted model, not a curated record. The transcript has 2 exons.